UUUGGAGUUUGUACUUAAUUAAUUUUAAUUUAUCAUUAAUAUUAAUUAUAUCAUUUCAUUUCAUUGCCUUUAUAUAAAAGAGUAAAUAUUGGCUCUACUGUUCAUUUUUCUGCCCUCCGAUUCACACUGAAACUGGUUCUUUAAUGUUCAUUAUCUGGUUAUUCAAGAGGAUAUAGAUAUUUUACAUAAAGAGCAUGUUGCUUUCUUUUUCUUCAUUCAUUCUCUCUUGCUUUUUCACAAGUUUCUUUCUCGACAAACCGAGCCAAAGCAAGCCCUAAGAAGGAGAGCAAAGGUAAGAUUCAAACUAAUUACUGGAAUCGACCUUCAAUUUUUUCCAAUCCUGUAAAUUUCUUUAAUUUCUUGAUCACUUCUGCAGAUCCUGUGAAAAUUUUUCCCUUUUUAUGAAAGUUUAAUUAAAAUUUCAAACAAAGGCACGAGAGAAAAUCGAACUAUUUUCAGUUCAAGUAAAGAUCUUGGAACAAUAAUACACGACAAUAGCAAAAAGGUCUUAUGAGGAUUCAUAGGUAUUCUAGGGAAAAUUUCGGGGGUUAUCUCUAGAUUUUAGAGAGGACGAACGAAUUUUUUUUGGUCUUUCUUAUUUACUAGAAGAUAAUUGACGGUAGUUUCUAUUGCAGAGAUAGAAUCUUGAUAUGGUGGAUAUCAAGUGUUCUGAGGUAAUCGAUUCUGGCUCUGUAAUUAUAUUUAGCUAAAAGGGUGUGUAAUUAAGGGAAAAAUCUUGGUGGAUUAUGUAAAUACGGAAAGGAGAGAGAUUCUCUCAAUUUCUGCUGCUUGAAAUUCUUCAAAUAAUAUUGCCAGAAUCUGGAUAGUUUUCAUUUUAUUUGCAUCAAAGGCCUGUUGAAAGAAUUUUGUAUGUUUGCUUUAGAAUUUGAAUUUUUCAGUCCUUGGUUUGAAAGGGUGGUCACAACAUUAUAGAAGAAGAGACCAAUGCAUUUAAAGUUGGGUACACGAAAAGGUUGGAGAAAUUCUAGACAAGAUAAGAUAUAUAGGGUUUUGAUACCUUCAAUGAAGUAAGUGGAGUGAAAAUAGGUACAACGAUUUUACGUUCUUUGACAGGUGAUAAUCCAGAAUUGCAAAAGCAAACAGGACAGCAUUACAGAAGAAAAGCCAGUGCAUUGGAAGUUGGGUAUACGAAAAGGUUGGAGAAAUUCUAGACAAGACAUUUGGGAUUUUGAUACCUUCAUUGAAGUGAGGGGAGUGAAAAUGGCUAAAAAGAUUUUACAUUCUUUGAUAGGUGAUAAUCCAAAAUUCCAAAAGCAAACAUGAUAUAUGGCAAUCAUCUUUCAACUGUUCGAUCAUCGGCCUAUUCUUACUGGGAGGUACAUCGUUGGCCACAGCACAGAGAGGCUGCCUCCUCGUACAUAUUUCUCA
Molecule: long non-coding RNA, 1389 nt
Filed under: Olea europaea subsp. europaea
Lineage: Eukaryota; Viridiplantae; Streptophyta; Magnoliopsida; Lamiales; Oleaceae
Source: RNAcentral